RNAcentral lists this ribosomal RNA (263 nucleotides) under uncultured bacterium. RNAcentral's name for it is "partial 16S ribosomal RNA". It matches the Rfam family "Bacterial small subunit ribosomal RNA", at positions 526 to 793 of the family's 1533-position model. The record is from RNAcentral.
UACGGGGGGCAAGCGUUGUUCGGAAUUACUGGGCGUAAAGGGCUCGUAGGUGGCCAACUAAGUCAGACGUGAAAUCCCUCGGCUUAACCGGGGACUGCGUCUGAUACUGGAUGGCUUGAGUUCGGGAGAGGAUGCGGAAUUCCAGGUGUAGCGGUGAAAUGCGUAGAUAUCUGGAGGAACACCGGUGGCGAAGGCGGCAUCCUGGACCGAGACUGACACUGGAGGAGCGAAGCCAGGGAGCAAACGGGAUUAGAACCCGGGAG